RNAcentral lists this ribosomal RNA (245 nucleotides) under uncultured bacterium. RNAcentral's name for it is "partial small subunit ribosomal RNA". It matches the Rfam family "Bacterial small subunit ribosomal RNA", at positions 26 to 285 of the family's 1533-position model. The record is from RNAcentral.
AGAAUCAACGCUGGCGGCGUGCCUAACACAUGCAAGUCGAACGAGAAAGUGGAGCAAUCCAUGAGUAAAGUGGCGCACGGGUGAGUAACACGUGACUAACCUACCCUGGAGUGGGGGAUAACUGAGGGAAACCUUAGCUAAUACCGCAUAAUACCUACGGGUCAAAGGAGCAAUUCGCUUCAGGAGGGGGUCGCGGCCGAUUAGUUAGUUGGCGGGGUAAUGGCCCACCAAGACAGUGAUCUGUA